RNA transcript from Mirounga angustirostris (Northern elephant seal), 6180 nucleotides. It is a transcript of the gene named focadhesin, with no coding region annotated. NCBI's taxonomy places the organism in Eukaryota, Metazoa, Chordata, Mammalia, Carnivora, Phocidae. The record is from RefSeq and is a predicted model, not a curated record. The transcript has 42 exons.
CGAAGCCGGGGGAGGCGGGGCAUAGACUCACAGUCUGCAGUCCAUUGGUUCUCUCCCCGUAGUCCCCGCCCCCAAGCGUUCGAGACGGUGGGGCGGGCCACGUCAGGCAGCCGGCGCGGGGCUCCGCUCGUAGCAGAAGGGAGAGUCUGCAUAUAUACAUGUAAGAGAAGCAAAAAUGUCAGAUGAUAUCAGGAAAAGGUUUGAAUUUCCAAAUUCUCUUAUCCAAUCACAGGCGGUGGGUCAUCUUAUUGCUGCAGUCCUGAAGGAAAAUGGUUUUUCAGAAAAGAUCCAUCAAUCCACAAACCAGACUCCGGCUUUAAACUUGCUGUGGGAGAAGUGUUGCAGUGAUAAUGUGGUGGUUCGAACAGCCUGCUGUGAGGGUCUAGUGGCCCUUGUUGCUCAGGAUCACGCAGAGUUCAGCUAUGUGCUCAAUGGGAUACUCAACCUGAUUCCAUCAACCAGGAAUACACAUGGCUUGAUAAAAGCCAUUAUGAAAUUAUUACAAAUGCAAGCUCUUAAGGAAGGACAAGGUGGGGAGAAGAAUAUUCGGAAUUUAUAUACUAUUAGGCUGAGGGUGGGCUCAGGAUUCUCGAGUAACAAGCUCCCAGGUGAUGCUGACCCUUCUCUCCCCCACACUAUGGGUAGUGGAGCUCCGCCUCGCCGUCAGCAGUACCUGGGAGCCUCUUGGAGAGUGGGGUCUCCUACUCCAUCUCACACUACCUGUAUCCGCACCCGCGUUCCAGUUAGAUUUUGCAGAAAUCAUCCUCAGCCUUUGAUCACUAUGCUUGAACACAGACCUGACUGCUGGCCAGUACUUUUGCAGCAGCUGACGGCUUUUUUCCAGCAAUGCCCUGAAAGGUCAGAAGUUUCAUGUAUCCAAAUAAUGGCACCAUUUCUAUGGUAUCUAUAUUGCGAACCAUCCCAGUUGCAAGAAUAUGCUAAAUUGCGACUAACGCUGCUCAAAGUCUUACUUCAACCGGGGGUUCCUGGUGACCCAGAACAACCAUCAAUCUUGGAACAACAGAUACUUCGGCUGUGUUGUGACAUGGUUCCGUGUUUGCAGGUAAAAGAUUUGAUCCAGACAACAGAAGUGAUGCUGUUUAUUGAGGAAGUAUAUUUAAGCCUUCUGCGUCAUCCCGUUUUCUGGAAAAUUCAGCUUAUCCAGCUGACCCUUCAGCUGCUGUGUGUCUGCGAAGUCAGCUUAACAAUAACUGGGGAAUGCUCAUCUUUAAUUCACCUUUUAGAGCACAGUGUUGAACUUCUGAAGGAGGAUUUUCCUGUUGAACUGGUCACGAUUGGAAUAGCUUUACUUCUGCUACAGACUCCAGCAAGUCAGCAGAAACCAAUCCUAAGUCUAGCUUUGAAGCUCCUCUCUGUUGCUGGGGGUCAGAAAAUUCCAAGGUCAUCCUGGGUGCUAGUGAUGCCAGUUCUGCAGAUAUUGUCUUCUACUGCCUUGGAAGACUGUAUAUCCAUGCAUGAAGAAGGUCCUUCGAGGCAACAGUUGGCUUUGAACCUUUUGGAAAUGGUACAGCAGGAGUCCUACAGAGACGACCACCAAAAGCUCUCCUACAAGCUCGCGUUCCCCAUAACCAGCAUGUAUGGAUCAAUAUUUACAGCCUGGAGGAUCCUUGAAGUAACGAGAGAAGAGUCUGCGGCCAGUGACUGGCUGUUUUCCAUAGAGUCCUUGCUCCCUAUUACCACAGUGAUCCCUGUGCAUGUUUUCCUUUUGUUGGCUCACCUCCUUGUUGAAGAUCAAGGACAGAAUCUUCGCCAGAUACUGAAGGUCACUACAUUAUUAGCCCAAGCAGAUUCCUCUCAGGUACCAAAUCUGAUUCCAGUUUUAAUGUUCAAAUUGGGAAGACCACUGGAACCCGUGUUGUAUAAUGACAUCUUGUAUACUUUACCUACACUUGGUGUUCACAAGGUGUGUAUAGGCCAGAUUCUGCGAGUGAUCCAGCUUCUUGGAACCACUCCACAACUAAGAGCUGUCACUCUGCGCUUAUUGACAUCGUUGUGGGAAAAGCAGGAUCGUGUCUACCCUGAACUGCAGCGUCUCAUGGCCACGUCCGAUGUACCUUCUCUGUCUGUGGGCAGGGAAGUCCAGUGGGAAAAACUCAUCGCCAAAGCAGCAUCAAUCAGAGACAUAUGUAAGCAAAGGCCCUACCAGCAUGGAGCGGAUAUGUUGGCAGCCGCUUCCCAGGUGUUGAAUGAAUGCACCAAACCUGAUCAAGCCACUCCGGCAGCCUUGGUCCUCCAAGGUCUUCACGCGCUCUGCCAAGCGGAGGUCGUUUGCAUUCGCUCAACUUGGAACGCACUCUCCCCAAAGCUCAGCUGUGACACGAGACCUCUCAUUUUGAAGACCCUUAGUGAACUGUUUUCUCUCGUUCCUUCCUUAACAGUCAAUACGGCUGAAUAUGAGAAUUUUAAAGUUCAAGUCCUCAGCUUCCUCUGGACCCACACUCAAAACAAGGAUCCCAUUGUGGCAAAUGCCGCAUAUAAAUCUCUGUCACACUUCAGUGCUGGAGAACACACCAUUCUUCAUCUGCCUGAAGAGAUAAGACCCGAAAUCCCUACUCCCGAUGAGCUAGAUGAAGACGAAGAUGAUGAGGGCGAUGAGAAGGAUGUGGAUCUUUCUAUUCCUGGCUCUUGCUAUCUCAAACUGUUGUCACUUACUGCUCCUUUGGUCUUACCAGCUUUGGAGGAAUUUUUUACAUCUCUUGUGAAGCAGGAAAUGGUGAAUAUGCCCCGAGGAGUGUAUCACUCUGCAUUAAAAGGAGGUGUCCGGUCAGACCAAGGAAAAACUGUAGCAGGAAUCCCCAAUUUUAUAUUGAAAAUGUAUGAAACCAAUAAGCAGCCAGGUCUGAAACCUGGCCUUGCAGGUGGUAUGUUAUUUUGUUACGAUGUUUCAACCUAUCAGAGUAAAGAUGGCAAACCAUUGAAUCGACUGAUGGCCAGUAGAGGGCGAAGUUUCAAGCAGACCUCACUUGCUCUAGUGCAUGAGGUUCACAUCCAGCUUUCCGAGUGGCACCGGGCAAUCUUUCUGCCACCGGCCUGGCUUGCAUAUAUGAGUCGAGCUUAUCAUGCCAUUUUACAGGGCAGGACAGGAGAGCUGGAUUUGCAGUUGAAACACGGGAAAGAAGGACCCGAGGAGGUGCAGUACAAAAAAGGCACAGCCUGGCUCUGGGUCCGAGACAUGUUGACUGAGGAGAUCACCAAGGCGGCGGCCAAGGAGAGCCCAGUGGUCAAGGGCAACGCACUGUUAGCCUUAAGCAGCCUCGCUGUCAUCGUAUCCAAACACGAAGCCAGUCUCUCUUCAGACUCAGAGGGGGUCCCGGAGGUUCAGCCUAAUUUCCUUUCAAUGAAGGAGUGGGUUUCCAUGGUGUCUGAUACUCUCCUGGUCAUUGUGGAUAGCCAUUACCAACCCAGAGGACAACUUUUCUCCUCGUUUUAUUAUAAAUCCUAUUCUGGUGAAAACACAGCUAGCGCGAUUGCCCGCUCCGCUGCCGCCACGGCUUUGUCUCUCCUCGUGCCAGUUUUCAUGAUUUCUUGCAAAGAGAAGGUUGAGGAAAUCCUAAACAUGCUGACUGCCAGGUUACCUGGGAAACCAAGAGCUGAUGAGUCUCAAGCCGUGCAGAUCCACAUGGGCCUUGCUUUGGGGAUGUUUCUCUCGCGCUUGUGUGAGGAGAAACUCAGCGAUAUAUCUGGCCAACAGAUGAACCUUCUUCUGAUGAAGUCUCUAGAUGCCCUGGAAAAUUGCUGCUUUGAUCCUAGUCUUGAAUAUAACACGGGCUGUAUAUUGGGCGUUGGACUUGUUCUGUCCCUCAUGAGCCACAGCAGCCAAACAGAGUCUCGAGUUCACGUGGCAGCAUCGCUUCGGAAGCUCUCGACGUACCUAGAUGACAGUGGGAGCCAAAGCAGAACAUUUCAGGAGGUCCUGGCCUAUACCCUCAGCUGCGUGUGUACCUCAGCGUUCAGUACUGGGAUCAUUGAGGCUGCAGAGGCUGAAGAUAUCAUGAACAAGCUUCUGAUGUUGGUAGAAAACAACCAACAGACUUCAGGUUUUGCCCUGGCGUUAGGAAACCUAGUUCAUGGUUUGUCUCUGUGCGGACAUGGAAAAGCUGAGGACUUGGGCCACAGACUGCUCCCCGCCUGGAUCAGAAUUGUUCUAGCACAGGGCACUCCUACAAUGCUCUGUUUGGCAGCGCUUCACGGCAUGGUGGCCUUGGUAGGCUCUGAAGGGGAUGUAACGCAGCUGAAGUCAGAAGCUAUCCAGUCCUCUCAUUUUCAAGCCAGACUUAAUGAAGUCAUUAAAACUGUAACUCAGGUCAUCAGUGUGUCUGGCGUGAUUGGUCUUCAGUCAAAUGCUCUCUGGCUUCUAGGACAUCUUCACCUAUCUACUCUGUCCUCAAGUCAGAGUAGAACCUCUGUUCCCACCGACUACAGCUAUCUGCCCGAGAGCAGUUUUAUUAGAGCGGCCGUGGGCUUCUUCGUUACAGGAGGGAAAAAAGGUCCUGAAUCUGUGCCUCCUUCCCUUCUCAAAGUUGUGAUGAAACCCAUUGCAACGGUCGGAGAAAGCCACCAGUAUCCUCCGGUGAACUGGGCCGCGCUCCUUUCUCCACUUAUGAGGCUAAACUUUGGAGAAGAGAUACAGCAGCUCUGCCUUGAAAUUGCCACGACACAGGCACCAUCAUCCCAGAAUGCAGCUGCGCUCUUGGGACUGUGGGUGACACCACCGCUGGUCCACGGCCUCAGCUUGAAUAUCAAGAAAUACCUCCUGGUGUCUACACCUCUGUGGAUAAAACAUGUCUCUGAGGAACAGAUCCUGGGCUUUGUUGAAAAUGUAAUGGUGGCAGUUUUUAAAGCAGCUUCCCCACUUCCCCAUCCUGAGUUAUGCACGAGUGCCUUACAGGGGCUGAGCCAGGCCAUGAAACUGCCCAGCCCUACCCACCACCUCUGGAGUCUGCUCUCUGAAGCUACUGGGAAAAUUUUUGACCUUCUGCCAAAUAAGAUUCGGAGAAAUGAUCUAGAGCUGUAUGUCAGUAUAGCAAAAUGCCUCUCAGAAAUGACAGAUGAUGAAGCCAAUCGGGUUGCCCAGAUUACUGAGAUUUUAUUGAUUUGUCAGAGACAGAGAACACAAGCAGGGGGAGCGGCAGGCAGAGGGAGAAGCAGACUCCCACUGAGCAGGGAGCCCGAUGUGGGACUCGAUCCCAGGACCCUUCACCGACAGAGGCAGACGCUUCACCGACAGAGCCACCCAGGCGUCCCAACAAGUACUUCUUAUAUCCACACCCAAAGGAUGAAGGAGUAACAUACGAGUAAAGUUGCACAUUUAGCUAGUAUAAUACAUGUCUUGUUAGAUUUGAAUUGCCUAUAGAUAGUGAAUGAUGUUUUUUAGUAUAAGUAUAUCCCAGUGGACAUACUUCUACAAAUGGCAACCCUACAUACCAGAUAAUAGAAAAGGUCUAGAGAAAUGUGAGCCCUCACCCAGCUGGUGAACCUCUUACCAUUUAUUUCACCUGAUGACAGGUUUGCCUAUUCAGUUGAAUCCUUGAAUUUCGGCAUCGUGUAGCAGUGAUUCUCAAAAUGUGUUCCCUGGACCAGCAGCAUAAGCAUGGCGACUGAUUAGGAAUGAAAAUUCUGGAGUCCCACUUCAGGUCUACUGAGUCAGAGGUGGGGCCCAGGAUCUGUGUUUUAACAGUCCCUCCAGAUGAUUGUGCUGCAUCCUGAGGUUUGAGAACCCCUAUUAGAGUAUUUGGAAUAUCAGCAUUUUGGAGAUUAGUUUGUUUUAAGCAAAGACAAGCAGGCUAAGGAAAUGCUUAAGAGAAUGGACUGUAGAGCCUCACUGCUGGGGUUUGAAAUCCAGCUCUGUAAUUUACUAGUAAUGUGACCCUGGUUACGUUUCAUAAUCUCUCUCUGCCUCAGUUUCCUUAUCUAUAAAAGGGAGAUAUUAGCACCUACCGCCAGAGCUGUUUUGAGAGUUACAAUGACUUAAUCCAUGGUAAAUUCUUGGAAAAGUACCUGACGUAAGGCUAGUACUCAAGCAACCUAGAAAAGGCUGCCUUUGUCAGACUGUACUUGGUCUCUCAAGGACGAUUCCCCUUGAUGGGCUUGAUGGACAUCCUCAGCGUCGCUGUUCGGCACCGGGAAAAAGACACGGUAGCCUGGAUGGUGGUGCACAGC